Molecule: ribosomal RNA, 484 nt
Filed under: uncultured bacterium
Lineage: Bacteria
Description: partial 16S ribosomal RNA
Rfam family: Bacterial small subunit ribosomal RNA
Source: RNAcentral
AUUGAACGCUGGCGGCAGGCCUAACACAUGCAAGUCGAGCGGAUGAAGGGAGCUUGCUCCUGGAUUCAGCGGCGGACGGGUGAGUAAUGCCUAGGAAUCUGCCUGGUAGUGGGGGAUAACGUCCGGAAACGGGCGCUAAUACCGCAUACGUCCUGAGGGAGAAAGUGGGGGAUCUUCGGACCUCACGCUAUCAGAUGAGCCUAGGUCGGAUUAGCUAGUUGGUGGGGUAAAGGCCUACCAAGGCGACGAUCCGUAACUGGUCUGAGAGGAUGAUCAGUCACACUGGAACUGAGACACGGUCCAGACUCCUACGGGAGGCAGCAGUGGGGAAUAUUGGACAAUGGCCGAAAGCCUGAUCCAGCCAUGCCGCGUGUGUGAAGAAGGUCUUCGGAUUGUAAAGCACUUUAAGUUGGGAGGAAGGGCAGUAAGUUAAUACCUUGCUGUUUUGACGUUACCAACAGAAUAAGCACCGGCUAACUUCGUG